This 625-nucleotide ribosomal RNA is filed under the name uncultured Bacilli bacterium. RNAcentral describes it as "bacterial SSU rRNA". It matches the Rfam family "Bacterial small subunit ribosomal RNA", at positions 79 to 692 of the family's 1533-position model. The record is from RNAcentral. Lineage: Bacteria; Bacillati; Bacillota; Bacilli.
UGCACCGAGCGGAUGAGUUGCGAACGGGUGAGUAACGCGUAGGUAACCUGCCUCUUAGCGGGGGAUAACUAUUGGAAACGAUAGCUAAUACCGCAUAAAAGUCGAUAUCGCAUGAUAUUGAUUUGAAAGGUGCAAUUGCAUCACUAAGAGAUGGACCUGCGUUGUAUUAGCUAGUUGGUGAGGUAACGGCUCACCAAGGCGACGAUACAUAGCCGACCUGAGAGGGUGAUCGGCCACACUGGGACUGAGACACGGCCCAGACUCCUACGGGAGGCAGCAGUAGGGAAUCUUCGGCAAUGGGGGCAACCCUGACCGAGCAACGCCGCGUGAGUGAAGAAGGUUUUCGGAUCGUAAAGCUCUGUUGUAAGAGAAGAACGAGUGUGAGAGUGGAAAGUUCACACUGUGACGGUAACUUACCAGAAAGGGACGGCUAACUACGUGCCAGCAGCCGCGGUAAUACGUAGGUCCCGAGCGUUAUCCGGAUUUAUUGGGCGUAAAGCGAGCGCAGGCGGUUAGAUAAGUCUGAAGUUAAAGGCUGUGGCUUAACCAUAGUACGCUUUGGAAACUGUUUAACUUGAGUGCAGAAGGGGAGAGUGGAAUUCCAUGUGUAGCGGUGAAAUGCGUA